UGCCAGCCGCCGCGGUAAUACGGAGGGCGCAAGCGUUACUCGGAAUCACUGGGCGUAAAGAGCGUGUAGGCGGGUUAAUAAAGUUUGAAGUGAAAUCCAAUGGCUCAACCAUUGAACUGCUUUGAAAACUGUUAACCUAGAAUAUGGGAGAGGUAAUGGAAUUUCUUGUGUAAGGGGUAAAAUCCGUAAGAGAUCAGAAGGAAUACCGAUUGCGAAGGCGAUCUACUGGAACAUUAUUGACGCUGAGACGCGAAAGCGUGGGGAGCAAACAGGAUUAGAUA
RNAcentral lists this ribosomal RNA (281 nucleotides) under uncultured bacterium. Its description in RNAcentral is "partial 16S ribosomal RNA". It matches the Rfam family "Bacterial small subunit ribosomal RNA", at positions 506 to 784 of the family's 1533-position model. The record is from RNAcentral.